Potamilus streckersoni is the source of this 73-nucleotide non-coding RNA. NCBI's taxonomy places the organism in Eukaryota, Metazoa, Mollusca, Bivalvia, Unionida, Unionidae. The record is from the annotation of a GenBank genome assembly.
GCUCCGGUUGCCUAUUGGUUAGAGCGUCCACCUCUGAUUUGGGUUGCCGUGGGUUCGAACCCCAGCCGAUACA